Molecule: ribosomal RNA, 253 nt
Filed under: uncultured bacterium
Lineage: Bacteria
Description: partial 16S ribosomal RNA
Rfam family: Bacterial small subunit ribosomal RNA
Source: RNAcentral
UACGUAGGGUGCGAGCGUUGUCCGGAAUUAUUGGGCGUAAAGAGCUCGUAGGCGGUUUGUCGCGUCUGCUGUGAAAUCCCGAGGCUCAACUCCGGGCCUGCAGUCGAUACGGGCUGGCUUGAGUGCGGUAGGGGAGACUGGAAUUCCUGGUGUAGCGGUGAAAUGCGCAGAUAUCAGGAGGAACACCGGUGGCGAAGGCGGGUCUCUGGGCCGUAACUGACGCUGAGGAGCGAAAGCGUGGGGAGCGAACAGG